Molecule: ribosomal RNA, 322 nt
Filed under: uncultured eukaryote
Lineage: Eukaryota
Description: partial 18S ribosomal RNA
Rfam family: Eukaryotic small subunit ribosomal RNA
Source: RNAcentral
CCCUUAGAUGUUCUGGGCCGCACGCGUGCUACACUGAGUGGAUCAGCGGGUCAGGUUGCGCGAAAGUGUUUCCUAAUCUUGAAAUCCGCUCGUGAUGGGGAUUGACGGUUGCAAUUUUCCGUCAUGAACGAGGAAUACCUUGUAAGCGCGGGUCAUCAUCCCGCGCUGAAUACGUCCCUGCCCUUUGUACACACCACCCGUCGCUCCUACCGAUUGAGUGGUCCGGUGAGGCUUUGGGAUCUGAGCAAAAAGAGCGUUUCGCUCGUUUGGCUCGGAAAACUCAGUCGAACCUUAUCAUUUAGAGGAAGGAGAAGUCGUAACA